AUAAUACCACGACUUUUCGUCUUUGAUCUCUUCAAUAGAAAAUACAUGAGCUGGCCUAUUAAGAUGCAUCACAGUCAGAUUGGGAACUUCAUUCCAAUAUUUCACUACAAUCAUUGAAGCCAACGUUGCAAGAGCAUCUGCCAUCCGAUUUUCAUCUUGAGGGAUAUGAUGAAACUCAACCUUUGUAAAGAAAGUCGAAAUCCGCCUCGCAUAAUCUCUAUAUGGUAUCAAAUCGGGUUGUUUGUCUC
RNAcentral lists this long non-coding RNA (248 nucleotides) under Lathyrus oleraceus (garden pea). Its description in RNAcentral is "Pisum sativum (pea) long non-coding RNA (PSAT_LNC009326)". Lineage: Eukaryota; Viridiplantae; Streptophyta; Magnoliopsida; Fabales; Fabaceae. The record is from RNAcentral.